Non-coding RNA from Triticum urartu, 223 nucleotides. Lineage: Eukaryota; Viridiplantae; Streptophyta; Magnoliopsida; Poales; Poaceae. The record is from Rfam.
ACGACCUUACUUGAACAGGAUCUGUUCUAUAGGCUCGUACCGCUGCAUCCUUUACCAAUAAGGAGGCAAGCACUCAAGUCUGGUUGAUGCAUUCUCACCUCUGGGCCAGAGCGUGAUUAACGGCCUGGAUUCACCUGAUGGGUGCAAUCUGACGGCUGUAGAGGAUCGUCCCUACCCACACUUGUGUAUGUGCAGGGUGGCCUAGAGGGUUGUCUGACAGACU